This is a non-coding RNA of Prunus mume (Japanese apricot), 1874 nucleotides long. The record is from RefSeq and is a predicted model, not a curated record. Lineage: Eukaryota; Viridiplantae; Streptophyta; Magnoliopsida; Rosales; Rosaceae.
AUGAAAAGGCCAGAAUCAGAAGAAGGAAGGGUGUUUGAUUGGUUUAUUCUAUCUCGGAAAUACUGCACUGGUUUUACAAUUUCCUCAAACUCUCAAAUUGCUCGAUUUUCUUGGCUUGUCCAAAUUGAGAAAGCCCGAAAGGUGUUUGAUCAAAUGCCUGACAAAACUAUUGUGUCUUGGAACUCAAUAGUUGCAGGUUACUUCCAAAGUAAUCAACCAGGAGAAGCCCAAAAACUGUUUGAUAGAAUGCUGGAGAGCAAUAUGAUUUCUUGGAACGGUUUGAUAUCCGGUUACGUCAAGAAUGGGAUGAUUAUUGAGGCAAGGAAAGUGUUUGAUUUGAUGCCCAAAAAGAAAGUUGUAUCGUGGACUUCGAUCGUUAAAGGGUAUGAAUUCGGAGGCUAAAUCACUCUUUUGGCAGAUGCCUGAAAGGAAUGUUGUUUCAUGGACAGUGAUGUUGGGUGGCCUCUUCAAGAAGGUCGAAUUGAUGAGGCUCGUAGGCUUUAUGAUAUGAUCCCGAGAAGGAUGUGGUGACAAGGGCUAAUUCGAUUGGUGGGUAUUUUCAAGUUGGCCAUUUGGCUGAAGCACAUGAGAUUUUUAAUGAGAUGCCGCGAAGGAAUGUUGUUUCCUGGACUAUGAUGGUAUAUGGGUAUGUGCAUAACUGAUAUGUGGAUGUUGCUAGAAAGCUUUUCGAAAUGAUGCUGGAGAAAAAUGAGGUUUCAUGGACGGCAAUGCCAAUAGGUUACACUUAGCGUGGGCGGAUUGAAGAGGCUUCAGAGCUUUUUCAUGCCAUGCCGGUUAAAUCAGUUCUUGCUUGUAAUGCAAUAGUACUUGGGUAUGGCCAAAAUGGAGAGGUACCUAAAGCAAGGGAAGUUUUUGAUAUUAUGAGAGAGAGGGAUGAUGGGACAUGGAGUGCGAUGAUUAAAGUUUAUGAACAGAAGGGUUUUGAAUUGGAAGCACUUGACUUGCUUACUUUGAUGCAACGAGAAGGUGGUAGGCCAAAUUUCCCUUCUUUGAUAAGCAUUCUAUCUGUUUGUGGCCGCUUGGCGAGCCUUCUUUAUGGUAGACAAAUUCAUGCCUAGUUGGUGAGAAACCAAUUUGACCUUAAUGUAUAUGUUGCCUCGGUUUUGAUGACAAUGUAUGUUAAAUGUGGUGACCUUGUGAAGGCAAACCGGGUGUUUAACAAGUUUGCUGCGAAGGAUAUAGUUAUGUGGAACUCAAUGAUCACCGGUUAUGCCCAUCAUCGUUUAGGAGAGAGCACGUUACCAGUUUUCUAAGAGAUGUGCUCCUUGGGCACAUCACCAGAUGAGAUCACCUUUAUUGGAGUUCUUUCAGCGUGUAGCUAUAGUGGGAAGGUAGGAAAAGGUCUUGAAAAUGUUGAGAUAAUGAAAUCAAGGUACCAGGUGGAGCCAAGAACUGAACAUUAUGCUUGUAUGGUUGAUCUGCUUGGUCAAGAAGGAAAGGUAAAGGAGGCAAUGGAUUUAAUUAAGAAAAUGUCAAUUGAAGCAGAUGCAAUUGUAUUGCAUGAUGUGGAUGAAGAAGAAAAGGCACACAGCUUGAGUUAUCAUAGUGAGAAAAUGGCCAUUGCAUAUGGACUCUUGAAGGUGCCAUAGGGGAUGCCCAUUUGGGUGAUGAAGAAACUUUGAGUUUGUGGGGAUUGCCAUUCUGUAAUUAAAUUAAUAUCCAAAGUGAUGGGAAGAGAGAUCAUAUUGAGGGAUGCUAACAGAUUUAAUCAUUUUAAGGAUGGCUUGUGUUCUUGCAGAGACUGUUGGUGAUUGCAAACCUUGUGUUAUGGGGAUCGAUCCUAGGAAAGACUGGUUUUGAGACAGGAAUCAUGCCUAGCAGAGUUAAUUGGUCAAAUUUGUUUUUAGACUGAA